RNAcentral lists this ribosomal RNA (116 nucleotides) under Pteropus alecto (black flying fox). Lineage: Eukaryota; Metazoa; Chordata; Mammalia; Chiroptera; Pteropodidae. RNAcentral also lists the same sequence under 1 other name. The record is from RNAcentral.
GUCUACAGCCAUGCCACCAUGAACAAGCCCAAUGUCUGAUCUCGGAAGCUAAGCAAGGUCGGGCCUGGUUAGUACUUGCAUGGGAGACCACCUAGGAAGACCAGGUACUGUAGGCA